Long non-coding RNA from Lucilia cuprina (Australian sheep blowfly), 1519 nucleotides. RefSeq lists it as uncharacterized. The record is from RefSeq and is a predicted model, not a curated record. The transcript is spliced from 4 exons. NCBI's taxonomy places the organism in Eukaryota, Metazoa, Arthropoda, Insecta, Diptera, Calliphoridae.
UGUACGAGAAACAUGUUAGUUUUGACAAGUAAACAAGCGUUGUAAGGUCAGUACAAAAGGCGCUGGCUGCGAGUACGUUACAAUUAAACGGAAAUACGCGUAAAUAUUUGAAUAAACAGAAAAAAAAUAAAAGUGAAAUUUAAGAAAAUGUGCAAAAAUAAAAAAGAAAAUAAUAAAAAGUAAAUAAAUAAAAACAAAAGAAAAAUUAUAUGAAAAAAUUCUUAAAGGAAUUUGCAAUUUAAAGUAAAUUUUAAAGAAUUUAAGAAAAUCGUUUUAUAAACUUAAGUUAAAGUUUUACAAACAACGUGAUUUUAAGGAUAAAGAAAAAUUUAAAGAAAUGCUUUAAGUUUUAAAGUGUUUGGAAAGUAAAGAUUUUAAUUUAAUUCAAAGCUAUUGUAUUCUUUUUGUUUUUGCUUAGCCAAGUGAAAAUUUUAAAUGGUGCGUAAUCCUCGGAGGGCAUUGUUAUUGUAAAAAUUUUCGAAUUGCCCAAAUUUACAUUAUUUGUAUGUACAAAAGAAUUUCUUCUUAUAUUAUGGUUGUAGUUGUUAUUGCCAAAAAUUGUUUGCCGAAAUAUAUAGAAUUAAAAUAAGAAUAUUAUAAUAAGAAAAGCAUAUAACACAAAAAAAGAACCCAGCAGAAUCAAUAAAGUCUUAUUUGAUUUUUUGCCAAGGGUGUUAACAACAGACGGCGCGCGUAAAUAAAGUUUUAGUUGCUAUUUUCUUCGGUAAAAACAUAAAGUGCUAAAAGUAACAAAAGAUGUGCAAAAAAAAUUUGGAAAAUAAAAAAAAUAAUAAAAUAAAUUAAAAAUAAGCAAAAAAAAAUAGAAAAAAAGUGUAUAAAAGUUAAAAAGAAUCCUUUUAAAAAACAACCAGAUAAAAUAUAUCCUUAAGUGUUAAAGAAAAAAAAAUAACAACAAUAAUAAAAACCAAAUCGAAGACGACAACAAGGAAAAAAGAGGAGCAAACAAAAAACUACAACAACAACAUAAUGUUUUUGAAAAAUUUCAAUUAAUUAAUUAAAACCCUGGAUAUAAAAGAUAAAAAAACGAUAUACAUAUAAAUCAAAACGAGUUCAAACCACAGUGUAAAAUUUUUUAAGAUAAAUACUUUAUUGAUGAAAAUAUAAAAGAAAAAACUUUAAAAAAGUUUAAUUAACAAAACAAACCAAAUGAAAAUAUAAAAAUCGUUAGUUAAAUCAAAUCAAACAGUAUUAUAUAAACACCUUUAAUAAAACGUAUAAAUAAAGUAAAAGAAUUCUUAUUUAAAUUUUGAAUUAAAUUGUUCAACUACCACAAACCCAAUUUGGCUUACAAAGGCAUUUCUUUCAACUGAAAUUCUAUCAACAACAGAUAACUGUUUUUUUUUUCGCAGCAAAUCAUCGAAUGACAAAUUGCUUCUAUUAUCAAAAGAAAUCCUGGCAAUCCCAGCAAAUUACUAUAAUGAAUUCUAUACUAUAUUGCAACAACUCUCACAUUCAAUUAAGCUAAACUAAGGUGCAUACUUAGUUAACUAUUUAAUAU